Molecule: long non-coding RNA, 279 nt
Organism: Chroicocephalus ridibundus (black-headed gull)
Lineage: Eukaryota; Metazoa; Chordata; Aves; Charadriiformes; Laridae
Exons: 4
Source: RefSeq, a predicted model, not a curated record
AGGCACUCCUAGAAGGAAGUGGACUUAGUGACGUGGAUGAGGCACUAGUCAGAGGUCUGCUAUCAAAGAGGGCUGCGCCCCCUCUGCCUGACGUAGAUGCGGACCUUUUGCGCAAGAGAAGUGUGGCCGCAUCCCUUCAUGUCUAGACCUGGAACUGAUGGUGACACCCAUGUCCUGUCCCCCUCCAGCAGCACGAGGAGAUGAUCAUCGCUGCAUGACCCCACCUGAUCCCCUGGGAGCCCUGGCCCAUUUCCCUCUAAUCAUCAAUAAACCUCAUCA